This 433-nucleotide ribosomal RNA is filed under the name uncultured bacterium. RNAcentral describes it as "partial 16S ribosomal RNA". It matches the Rfam family "Bacterial small subunit ribosomal RNA", at positions 29 to 507 of the family's 1533-position model. The record is from RNAcentral.
AACGAACGCUGGCGGCAUGCCUAACACAUGCCAGUCGAACGAUGCUUUCGGGCAUAGUGGCGCACGGGUGCGUAACGCGUGGGAAUCUGCCCUGGGGUUCGGGAUAACAGCGGGAAACUGCUGCUAAUACCGGAUGAUAUCGCGAGAUCAAAGAUUUAUCGCCCUGGGAUGAGCCCGCGUCGGAUUAGGUAGUUGGUGGGGUAAGAGCCUACCAAGCCGACGAUCCGUAGCUGGUCUGAGAGGAUGAUCAGCCACACUGGGACUGAGACACGGCCCAGACUCCUACGGGAGGCAGCAGUGGGGAAUAUUGGACAAUGGGCGCAAGCCUGAUCCAGCAAUGCCGCGUGAGUGAUGAAGGCCUUAGGGUUGUAAAGCUCUUUUACCCGGGAUGAUAAUGACAGUACCGGGAGAAUAAGCCCCGGCUAACUCCGUG